This 397-nucleotide ribosomal RNA is filed under the name uncultured bacterium. RNAcentral describes it as "partial 16S ribosomal RNA". It matches the Rfam family "Bacterial small subunit ribosomal RNA", at positions 523 to 918 of the family's 1533-position model. The record is from RNAcentral.
AUACGUAGGGGGCGAGCGUUGUCCGGAAUGAUUGGGCGUAAAGGGCGCGUAGGCGGCCCGGUAAGUCUGGAGUGAAAGUCCUGUUUUUAAGAUGGGAAUUGCUUUGGGUACUGUCGAGCUUGAGUGCAGGAGAGGAAAGUGGAAUUCCCAGUGUAGCGGUGAAAUGCGUAGAGAUUGGGAGGAACACCAGUGGCGAAGGCGACUUACUGGACUGUAACUGACGCUGAGGCGCGAAAGUGUGGGGAGCAAACAGGAUUAGAUGCCCUGGUAGUCCACACUGUAAACGAUGAAUGCUAGGUGUAGGGGGUAUCGACCCCUUCUGUGCCGCAGUCAACACAAUAAGCAUUCCGCCUGGGGAGUACGGCCGCAAGGUUGAAACUCAAAGGAAUUGACGGGG